UGUGCGUGUGUGUAUGUGCAGGGGCGGAUCUACCCAAUUUGGGGCCCUAGGCAAAAUAUAAACAUGGGCCCCCCCAAAGUCAUUUUUUCACCAAUUAGCAAGGAAGGAGCAAGGCUGUUAUUUUAGUGGUUUGUCUCGUAAAUAUUCAAUUACUAUACAUAUGUGACAAAUUAAGAUCAUAUAUGUGACAAAUUAAGAUUUUUGUGAGUUUAUCACGACAGGUGUGACAGUUAGGGACCCCUUAUCGAGGACAGAUUGGUCGGGGCCCUAGGCAGUUGCCUACAUUUGCCUAAUGACAUCACUGGAUCUGCAAAGCGUGUCGAUGCCCUGUAUUGUUUUUUUUUACUGUAAUUUUCAUGUUGAAUAAAAAAAUUGAUGCAUUUGAAACAA
This is a long non-coding RNA of Engraulis encrasicolus (European anchovy), 390 nucleotides long. RefSeq lists it as uncharacterized. The transcript has 2 exons. The record is from RefSeq and is a predicted model, not a curated record. Lineage: Eukaryota; Metazoa; Chordata; Actinopteri; Clupeiformes; Engraulidae.